GUCUCAGUAGCUCAAUUGGAUAGAGCAUCCCCCUCCUAAGGGGAAGGUUGGCAGUUCGAACCUGCCCUGGGACG
RNAcentral lists this transfer RNA (74 nucleotides) under Pseudomonas putida. Its description in RNAcentral is "tRNA-Arg". It matches the Rfam family "tRNA". From Rfam's summary of the family: Transfer RNA (tRNA) molecules are approximately 80 nucleotides in length. Their secondary structure includes four short double-helical elements and three loops (D, anti-codon, and T loops). Further hydrogen bonds mediate the characteristic L-shaped molecular structure. tRNAs have two regions of fundamental functional importance: the anti-codon, which is responsible for specific mRNA codon recognition, and the 3' end, to which the tRNAs corresponding amino acid is attached (by aminoacyl-tRNA synthetases). tRNAs cope with the degeneracy of the genetic code in two manners: having more than one tRNA (with a specific anti-codon) for a particular amino acid; and 'wobble' base-pairing, i.e. permitting non-standard base-pairing at the 3rd anti-codon position. Lineage: Bacteria; Pseudomonadati; Pseudomonadota; Gammaproteobacteria; Pseudomonadales; Pseudomonadaceae. The record is from RNAcentral.